GAGAAAGUCAUAGAGGUUAUGAAGUUGACUUGAAAUCAAUUUUAGGGGGUUCAAUUCCUCCCUUUCUUA
This 69-nucleotide transfer RNA is filed under the name Wyulda squamicaudata. Its description in RNAcentral is "tRNA-Ser". It matches the Rfam family "tRNA". From Rfam's summary of the family: Transfer RNA (tRNA) molecules are approximately 80 nucleotides in length. Their secondary structure includes four short double-helical elements and three loops (D, anti-codon, and T loops). Lineage: Eukaryota; Metazoa; Chordata; Mammalia; Diprotodontia; Phalangeridae. The record is from RNAcentral.